AUACGUAGGGGGCGAGCGUUGUUCGGAAUCAUUGGGCGUAAAGGGCGCGCAGGCGGCGAGGCAAGUCCGGUGUGAAAGUGCUCGGCUCAACCGAGUGAUGCGCUGGAAACUGCCCUGCUUGAGGACAGGAGGGGACGUCGGAAUUCCAGGUGUAGGGGUGAAAUCUGUAGAUAUCUGGAAGAACACCGGUGGCGAAGGCGGACGUCUGGCCAUGUACUGACGCUGAGGCGCGAAGGUGCGGGGAGCGAACAGGUUUAGAUACCCUGGUAGUCCGCACAGUAAACGAUGUGCACCAGGUGGCGGGGGGUAGCCCUCGGUACCGAAGCCAACGCAUUAAGUGCACCGCCUGGGGAGUAUGCUCGCAAGGGUGAAACUCAAAUGAAUUGGCGGGG
RNAcentral lists this ribosomal RNA (392 nucleotides) under uncultured bacterium. Its description in RNAcentral is "partial 16S ribosomal RNA". It matches the Rfam family "Bacterial small subunit ribosomal RNA", at positions 523 to 918 of the family's 1533-position model. The record is from RNAcentral.